AUUGAACGCUAGCGGGAUGCUUUACACAUGCAAGUCGAACGGCAGCGCGGACUUCGGUCUGGCGGCGAGUGGCGAACGGGUGAGUAAUGUAUCGGAACGUGCCCAGUAGCGGGGGAUAACUACGCGAAAGCGUAGCUAAUACCGCAUACGCCCUACGGGGGAAAGCAGGGGAUCGUAAGACCUUGCACUAUUGGAGCGGCCGAUAUCGGAUUAGCUAGUUGGUGAGGUAACGGCUCACCAAGGCGACGAUCCGUAGCUGGUUUGAGAGGACGACCAGCCACACUGGGACUGAGACACGGCCCAGACUCCUACGGUAGGCAGCAGUGGGGAAUUUUGGACAAUGGGGGCAACCCUGAUCCAGCCAUCCCGCGUGUGCGAUGAAGGCCUUCGGGUUGUAAAGCACUUUUGGCAGGAAAGAAACGUCGCGGGCUAAUACCCCGUGGAACUGACGGUACCUGCAGAAUAAGCACCGGCUAACUACGUG
Molecule: ribosomal RNA, 484 nt
Filed under: uncultured bacterium
Lineage: Bacteria
Description: partial 16S ribosomal RNA
Rfam family: Bacterial small subunit ribosomal RNA
Source: RNAcentral